RNAcentral lists this ribosomal RNA (253 nucleotides) under uncultured bacterium. RNAcentral's name for it is "partial 16S ribosomal RNA". It matches the Rfam family "Bacterial small subunit ribosomal RNA", at positions 524 to 776 of the family's 1533-position model. The record is from RNAcentral.
UACGAAGGGGGCUAGCGUUGUUCGGAAUUACUGGGCGUAAAGCGCACGUAGGCGGAUAUUUAAGUCAGGGGUGAAAUCCCAGAGCUCAACUCUGGAACUGCCUUUGAUACUGGGUAUCUCGAGUAUGGAAGAGGUGAGUGGAAUUCCGAGUGUAGAGGUGAAAUUCGUAGAUAUUCGCAAGAACACCAGUGGCGAAGGCGGCUCACUGGCCCGGUACUGACGCUGAGGCACGAAAGCGUGGGGAGCAAACAGG